Non-coding RNA from Clostridiales bacterium 38-18, 82 nucleotides. The record is from Rfam. NCBI's taxonomy places the organism in Bacteria, Bacillati, Bacillota, Clostridia, Eubacteriales.
UGGAUGAUAUCUUUAUGAAUCAUACCUGCUAGAAUAUUUUUUUCAUUUCAAUCUGCUUUGAGCCACGGCCAAGGACAGAUCA